This 429-nucleotide ribosomal RNA is filed under the name Chloroflexota bacterium. Its description in RNAcentral is "Chloroflexi bacterium partial 16S ribosomal RNA". It matches the Rfam family "Bacterial small subunit ribosomal RNA", at positions 355 to 776 of the family's 1533-position model. Lineage: Bacteria; Bacillati; Chloroflexota. The record is from RNAcentral.
UGGGGAAUAUUGCACAAUGGGCGCAAGCCUGAUGCAGCCAUGCCGCGUGUAUGAAGAAGGCCUUCGGGUUGUAAAGUACUUUCAGUCGGGAGGAAGGUGGUAAGGUUAAUAACCUUAUCAAUUGACGUUACCGACAGAAGAAGCACCGGCUAACUCCGUGCCAGCAGCCGCGGUAAUACGGAGGGUGCAAGCGUUAAUCGGAAUUACUGGGCGUAAAGCGCACGCAGGCGGUUGAUUGAGUCAGAUGUGAAAUCCCCAGGCUUAACCCGGGAAUUGCAUCUGAUACUGGUCAGCUAGAGUCUUGUAGAGGGGGGUAGAAUUCCAUGUGUAGCGGUGAAAUGCGUAGAGAUGUGGAGGAAUACCGGUGGCGAAGGCGGCCCCCUGGACAAAGACUGACGCUCAGGUGCGAAAGCGUGGGGAGCAAACAGG